CAAAUUGAGAGUUUGAUCCUGGCUCAGGACGAACGCUGGCGGCGUGCCUAAUACAUGCAAGUCGAGCGAGCUGAAUUCAAAGAUCCCUUCGGGGUGAUUUGUUGGACGCUAGCGGCGGAUGGGUGAGUAACACGUGGGCAAUCUGCCCUAAAGACUGGGAUACCACUUGGAAACAGGUGCUAAUACCGGAUAACAACAUGAAUCGCAUGAUUCAAGUUUGAAAGGCGGCGUAAGCUGUCACUUUAGGAUGAGCCCGCGGCGCAUUAGCUAGUUGGUGGGGUAAAGGCCUACCAAGGCAAUGAUGCGUAGCCGAGUUGAGAGACUGAUCGGCCACAUUGGGACUGAGACACGGCCCAAACUCCUACGGGAGGCAGCAGUAGGGAAUCUUCCACAAUGGACGCAAGUCUGAUGGAGCAACGCCGCGUGAGUGAAGAAGGUUUUCGGAUCGUAAAGCUCUGUUGUUGGUGAAGAAGGAUAGAGGCAGUAACUGGUCUUUAUUUGACGGUAAUCAACCAGAAAGUCACGGCUAACUACGUGCCAGCAGCCGCGGUAAUACGUAGGUGGCAAGCGUUGUCCGGAUUUAUUGGGCGUAAAGCGAGCGCAGGCGGA
RNAcentral lists this ribosomal RNA (609 nucleotides) under Lactobacillus delbrueckii subsp. bulgaricus. Its description in RNAcentral is "bacterial SSU rRNA". It matches the Rfam family "Bacterial small subunit ribosomal RNA", at positions 1 to 579 of the family's 1533-position model. The record is from RNAcentral. Lineage: Bacteria; Bacillati; Bacillota; Bacilli; Lactobacillales; Lactobacillaceae.